This 334-nucleotide ribosomal RNA is filed under the name uncultured Anaerolineaceae bacterium. RNAcentral describes it as "bacterial SSU rRNA". It matches the Rfam family "Bacterial small subunit ribosomal RNA", at positions 1035 to 1382 of the family's 1533-position model. The record is from RNAcentral. Lineage: Bacteria; Bacillati; Chloroflexota; Anaerolineae; Anaerolineales; Anaerolineaceae.
CAGGUGUUGCAUGGCUGUCGUCAGCUCGUGCCGUGAGGUGUUCGGUUAAGUCCGCUAACGAGCGCAACCCUUGCUGUAUGUUAUAAGUAUCAUACGGGACUGCCGGUGAAAAGCCGGAGGAAGGUGAGGAUGACGUCAAGUCAGCAUGACCUUUAUGUCCUGGGCUACACACACGCUACAAUGGGCAGUACAACAGGUAGCGAAGCCGCGAGGCGGAGCCAAUCCACCAAAACUGUCCUCAGUUCAGAUUGCAGGCUGCAACUCGCCUGCAUGAAGAUGGAGUUGCUAGUAAACGUGCGUCAGCUAUAGCGCGUUGAAUACGUUCCCGGGUCUU